Long non-coding RNA from Panicum virgatum (switchgrass), 2967 nucleotides. RefSeq lists it as uncharacterized. The transcript has 2 exons. Lineage: Eukaryota; Viridiplantae; Streptophyta; Magnoliopsida; Poales; Poaceae. The record is from RefSeq and is a predicted model, not a curated record.
ACCGUCCCAUGCGUCGAUCUUAUCCUCGCGCCACCACGUUGUGGACGGGGGCUGCGUUUGCGGCACUUGCCGGCCCCGACGGUGGCGGAGCGGCGAGAGCGGGGGCAGGUGGCUGUGCGAGGACAAUGGCGUUCCACGCUCGGGCGUCUGAGCGGCGGAGCUUGCCUCUUCGGCGGCGGUGGCCGCCAGCGGGGCUCCGGCCGGCCACCGGGCCCUUCUUCUCGACCCUUCGCGGCGGUGUCCUCCUCGAGGCUUAAUUCUCUCUGGAUACAGCUGAUUCGCCCCCACUUUUGAGCCAAUGGAAUCAACGCCAUGUGCAAUGGGCGGCACCGAUGACGGCGCUGGUGUUCACUUGUCUCGUGGCCGCCGGCCUCUCUGCCCGUUGCAGCGCUGGUGAGAAGGAGAAGUAGCAGAGCUGCAGAGGCACUGCUGCAGCGCCGUCGUGGAUCCGCGCGGCAUUAGAGAUGUGAGCGCGGUCGUGGUGACAUACGAAGCAGCAAGCGCUGUGCGUGAAGGCGUGCGCUGGCUUGGCUCUGUAAAGAUGGAUAUCCACACGCCUCUGUUCCUCUCUCUCUCUCCGGACGCCAUUACGCCGUGAUUAUGGUGAACAUUGCACACGGUUCCGUAGCUGCAGACAAUGCCAAUUUCUUGCCGGUUCCCAACAUCAAAGGUGCGUAUUUCAUCACAUUCUGUUUUGAUGGAGCCAUGAUUUGCAAUUCAGAGAUUGCUAGCUCUGUAGCUUGAUUAGUCAUGAUCCCGAUGAAGAUCUCUAGCUGCGAUGCUGUAGGUUGUGUGUCUUUGUUUUUCUACCGCAUAGGUGGUACAGACUAAUUGUCAUUGCAGGAAAGGCAGCGUUCUCUGUGGACUAUGUCGUGAUUGCAGGAAAGGAAAAUUUAUCAAUUAAACAAAAAUCCUAAGCUUUUUAAUCCCAUCAAGAAUAAAUAACUUAAGAACAAUAAUAAGCACUUAUAUAUACAGCAAAAGUUAUUUUGCAUGGCUGUCGCAGGAAAUAUGUGGACUAUGUUAGAUACCUCAUAAACAGUUCCAUAUAAUAGGCUAGAAGCAUAUUUAAAUUAUUUUGUGUAACAAAAAUUAAACUUUGCAGUGACAUACAUUUUAUUGCCUGCAGUGGAGAUAAAUAGCCUUGCCAUGGUUUAUCUUCUCCAAUUUUUAUCACUCUCUUGUGUCUCAGCUAUGGGCUCUUGUUACCUUCUACUUUAUUUAGUAAUAUUUCACAGUAGAAUUAUUUUGGAAGCACCCUAUUUUCUUUGGGGAUUGUAUUUUUCUCUUCUUAAUUGCCAAUUUAUGCACAUCCUUUGAUUCAAGAGCGCUUAUCGAACAAAUUAUGUUGCAGUACCAUGUGUAACGAGAAAACUAGCUCAAAAUAAUGAUGCAAAUGAAGACGAUCAUGUGGAUCCAAACCACCAGAAAGUCCAUGGAGAUAUGCUUCAAUGAAUCCGACUUUUUAGAGUUAAUAUCUAAUUAAUUUCUAUAUUAAUUGCUGCAUCCAUGUGAUCAGUAUCGCUUUAUUCUCCUAGGUCCGGCCACGAUAGUCGCCGAUGUCGUUGCUGCGCUCGGCACAAUAGCUUGCCUCUACAGGCUGGCUCCCUCUGCCGCUGCCUCCGAGUUGAGAGGCUUACGAGCACCACAUCCUCUUAGCUCUCAUUGUGGAUUUAAUAUGGGUCACUUUUAUUGGAUGGAAAUUGCGCUUGAUUUAAUUGAGUACAUAGCCUUGAGAAUUGAACUCUAUAGAUCAAUGCAUAAGGAUAAAGUGUGCGUGCUACUAUAUAAUAAGCCUGCACUACUCUGCAAAUAGAGAACACAAGGAAGCUGAUGUCCAGGCAAGUGAAGAAAGAAUAAACUUUGGGGCAGUUUCUUACUGCUUUUCCAAUCCCUCUGUAAUUCAUGCUUUUCCUUGUUACUAGCUUCCAUUUCUUCAAGAGCUAUCAAUUCCAAAAAAAAUCUCAAUGCACGUUUCGCUCCUUUAGUUGUUGGGCGCACUGGUGCUCAACUCUUCCUCACUCAAAUGGUAUCUGACUGAGGAUAAAAUUUCAUGCAAGUGAAUAACACAAUCCAUUUAGAUGAUAAGUUGCUCUUAUUGAAAAUUGAUUUCUUUUCAUUUUCCAACAGAUUAGCAUUAGCAGAUUUUAAAAGUCGCAUUAUGUAUGCUAAUGUUUGAUAUAACUGUAUCCUUCCUUGCCAAAUGAUUCGUUAAACUUGAUCUGGAGCAUGCUAUCCAAUAAUGUUCAUCUCCCCUAAACUAUUUCUGCAUCUAUUCCUGUUUUUUGGUUUCUUGAGCUUAUCCGAGACAUGGUCGGCUGGAGAACAUCUUUAGUAAGCACAGAAAAGGAUCUUAUAAAGAUACAGUGCUUCCAUAACUGAUUCCAUUGCCAACUACUUGUCGUGAUAAAAGAAUAGCAUUAGAAUACAUCUUUCUGUUUCUGCAUUUGCAGCCCUCCCACCUUUCACUGGAUGGCAGUAAGUACAUUGUGAAUCUUGAACACAGUUCACUUGUAUUAUCAGAAGGCCCUGCAUUUUUCCUUCCAAGACUAAAAGUCAUUGCUUGGUUUUGUUACCUUCUGUGUGCACAGCAGCAGCAAGAUUCAACAAGGAGAUAAAGGCAAAAGAAUUAUGUCGGUUCAAAAGGAAGAAAUGAAUCUGCCUCAGCUUAAUUGCACAUGAUUUUGGACUCUCAACUCUCUCUGUAUCUAGCUAACAGUUCCAUGCUUCUAUAGAGUAGUUGUUUCAUCAGAUCCAAUUCACUUCCAUUUGUACCCACUAUACUCCUAUGACAAUUGACCUACAACACUAUUUUUUUGGUUGCCCUCUUUAUUUUUGGAACUAAUGAUAACGCCAUUUGGUAUACAAAGCUCUACACAUAGCCGCAUUUGGUCAUUUUGUUCUGCAUUCUCCGUCCCUCAAACAUUGAAAUGUUAGUCCACCUUAGGAAGGUGAGUCUUCGAAGCC